ACGGAAGGCAGCAGUGGGGAAUAUUGCACAAUGGGGAAACCCUGAUGCAGCGACGCCGCGUGAGCGAAGAAGUAUUUCGGUAUGUAAAGCUCUAUCAGCAGGGAAGAAAAUGACGGUACCUGACUAAGAAGCUCCGGCUAAAUACGUGCCAGCAGCCGCGGUAAUACGUAUGGAGCAAGCGUUAUCCGGAUUUACUGGGUGUAAAGGGAGCGUAGGCGGCACGGCAAGCCAGAAGUGAAAUGCCGGGGCUCAACCCCGGAACUGCUUUUGGAACUGUCGAGCUAGAUUGCAGGAGAGGUAAGUGGAAUUCCUAGUGUAGCGGUGAAAUGCGUAGAUAUUAGGAGGAACACCAGUGGCGAAGGCGGCUUACUGGACUGUAAAUGACGCUGAGGCUCGAAAGCGUGGGGAGCAAACAGGAUUAGAUACCCUGGUA
RNAcentral lists this ribosomal RNA (433 nucleotides) under uncultured Lachnospiraceae bacterium. RNAcentral's name for it is "partial 16S ribosomal RNA". It matches the Rfam family "Bacterial small subunit ribosomal RNA", at positions 341 to 792 of the family's 1533-position model. The record is from RNAcentral. Lineage: Bacteria; Bacillati; Bacillota; Clostridia; Lachnospirales; Lachnospiraceae.